UCGAACGGCAGCACAAUCAAGCUUGCUUGAUGGGUGGCGAGUGGCGAACGGGUGAGUAAUGCGUAGGAAUAUACCUUAGAGUGGGGGAUAACUUGGGGAAACUCAAGCUAAUACCGCAUGAAGUCGAAAGACGAAAGCUGGGGACCUUUUGGCCUGGCGCUUUAAGAUUAGCCUACGUCCGAUUAGCUAGUUGGUGGGGUAAAGGCCUACCAAGGCGACGAUCGGUAGCUGGUCUGAGAGGAUGAUCAGCCACAAUGGGACUGAGACACGGCCCAUACUCCUACGGGAGGCAGCAGUGGGGAAUAUUGGACAAUGGGGGCAACCCUGAUCCAGCCAUGCCGCGUGAGUGAUGAAGGCCUUCGGGUUGUAAAGCUCUUUUGGCGGGGACGAUGAUGACGGUACCCGCAGAAUAAGCCCCGGCUAACUUCGUGCCAGCAGCCGCGGUAAU
Molecule: ribosomal RNA, 448 nt
Filed under: uncultured bacterium
Lineage: Bacteria
Description: bacterial SSU rRNA
Rfam family: Bacterial small subunit ribosomal RNA
Source: RNAcentral